RNAcentral lists this long non-coding RNA (536 nucleotides) under Homo sapiens (human). RNAcentral describes it as "non-protein coding lnc-AKT2-1:1". The record is from RNAcentral. Lineage: Eukaryota; Metazoa; Chordata; Mammalia; Primates; Hominidae.
CCUUGAUGCUGAAAUGGAAAGGGUCUCGCUGUGUUGCCCUGCCACAAGAUUCAAAGUGGCCCUCAAGUUUCACCCUUGAUGCUGAAAAUAGAGAAAGAGUCUCGCUAUGUUGCCCAGGAUGGCCUUUGAGGCCCCCCAAAGAUAACUAAGCCAUUUGCAGAAGUAACAUAGGGCACAAAAGUAGGGCCAAUACUUUUCCAUUUUCUAGCAUGAGUUGAGUUAACUUGUCCUGGGAACUCAAGCAAGGCCCUUAAUGUGCUGUUACAUUUAACCUCCAGGGUUACUGUGUAGAUAGCAACAGGAUAGCAUCAGUGGGAGUGUGUUUACACAGAACUUGGCGUGAAGUGACUUUGACAAGGACACAGAAAAGAUACGAUUAGAACCUGGGCCUACUCAUCAUCAAUGCUAAAAAGUGUUGUUUACCUCCUAGACUAAUGUUUUACAAACUACAAGGCACAACCAGAAAAUCAGUUCAGCAGGGUUGCGGAAUUGAAAUAAAUAGUAUAUUAAGGGCUGGGCGUGGUGGCUCAUGUCUG